GCGUGAAUGGUUUAGUGGUAAAAUUCUCCGUUGCCAUCGGGGAGCCCUUGGGUUCGAUUCCCAGUUCACGCA
Molecule: transfer RNA, 72 nt
Filed under: Verticillium dahliae VDG2
Lineage: Eukaryota; Fungi; Ascomycota; Sordariomycetes; Glomerellales; Plectosphaerellaceae
Description: tRNA-Gly
Rfam family: tRNA
About the family: Transfer RNA (tRNA) molecules are approximately 80 nucleotides in length. Their secondary structure includes four short double-helical elements and three loops (D, anti-codon, and T loops).
Source: RNAcentral